RNAcentral lists this ribosomal RNA (253 nucleotides) under uncultured bacterium. Its description in RNAcentral is "partial 16S ribosomal RNA". It matches the Rfam family "Bacterial small subunit ribosomal RNA", at positions 524 to 776 of the family's 1533-position model. The record is from RNAcentral.
UACGUAGGGUGCGAGCGUUGUCCGGAAUUAUUGGGCGUAAAGGGCUCGUAGGCGGUUUGUCGCGUCGGGAGUGAAAUCCACUGGCUUAACUGGUGGCUUGCUUUCGAUACGGGCAGACUGGAGGUAUGCAGGGGAGAACGGAAUUCCUGGUGUAGCGGUGAAAUGCGCAGAUAUCAGGAGGAACACCGGUGGCGAAGGCGGUUCUCUGGGCAGUAGCUGACACUGAGGCGCGACAGCGUGGGGAGCAAACAGG